CCUCUCCCUUGUCUCGUCUCCCUACCGCAAUUCCUUCCAUCACCAUUCCCACCCACCGCCGCCGCCCCCACCCACCGUCGACCUUGUCUCCGCCACGCAUCCUCUCCCCCUCCCCUCGCCUUCAUCCCCCAGAUCGAGCAAGCCACGAUUCCAUCGUCGGUGCCACCUCCCCUCCAUGGACGGAGAUCCACUCGAGCUCAUCCUCUCCAAUCUCGUCGCCGACGAUGACCCCCAACACCACACCAAUCGGCGAAUGUCUCCCGGACCCACCUCCCCUCACACCACCCCUACCUGAUCCAACCCGCCUCGCCCGCUCCAGCCGCCACCGCACCAGCCCCGAACCACUACUCGCGGGCGCGCGGGGAUGGAGAACCCCGACGUGCAAGCGGGAGCUGACGCGGGGCUUCCCCUGCCCCCACCGCCGUCCUUGGAUUCCGCGGGGGGCGGCCUAGGCAGCGACCCGGCCGAGGUGCUCCCACUGCCGCCCCCGCACCUCCUCGGUGGCGCCCCGUACGAUGCUGUGCAGGGAGUUGACGGAUCCGCGCACCCGUCGAGCACGCCUCGCUGAACGGCACCUCCGGCAAGGCGGCGGGCUACCAGGCCGCAGAGAACGGCGCACUGAAUUGCUUAUUUUUCCUUGCUGUGUGAUCUUCAGUUCUUCAUGAUGUUAUAGAGAUAUUUAUGUCAAAUCUACAGCUUGGGAUCCUCUCGUUCCUAUGCAGAAGCUGGAUAGAUUCCUGCUUUAACAUGUGCAUCUGUUAUUUGAUUAACAUAAUGUCAUUCGGUCUCGUACUAUUACCAUGUCAUAACUCAUAAAUACUGGUUAGGUUAAAAGGACCGUCUUUGCAGCUGAGGCUUAGCAAUCUAUAUAAAAUAUUUAAUUAUUUAUUCCAAACUGUUAUUAGCAUGGCUAUUGAUACUUUUGUCAUCCCACUUCCAUAUAAAAGGAGAAUCAUGAGAAGAGAACAUGUUGUGUGCCCCUAGUUUUAAUUUUCCUAUAUUAUAUUUAAGCAUUCAAUAUCUUCCUAUAUUGAAGUUGUUAUUUUACACUAAAUAUUUUCUGUAACAAAAAUGUAGCCGAAGAGGGUCUCGGAAGAGGGAACUACUCCACUGACCGAAGCACUUCAUGGCACCAGUUCAGGACUACCUGAAUGUACUACACUGGAGCGUGUCAAAGCUGCUUGUGGAGGUGGACAAGGAAGCCCUCAUCCCCAUGGCUGCUACUCCUUCAGGUGAACAACAAAACCCUAACGGUGACAGAGGUGGGCACCUAGGAAACUAGAUGCUAUCAAACAAGUUAUUAUGGCUAAAGCUUCGUCCAGUGUAUCACGAACAAGAUGGUUGAACCUCGUGGGCUUGGUGAUGUUGAGAUGACUGAAGAGCAGAGGCGAGUUUAUUUGGAAGAAGAAAUAAAGAAUGAGGAGUAGGAAAAUUAAAAGAAGGAGAUGUAAGAACGACCUAGAAAAAGGUAGAUGAAAAAAAGUUAACAGAUGUGGGAUCACUUUUCUAUGUGUUAUGUUUUAAAGUGUAAUAAUAUGGUUGUGUAACUUGUGUUUGGUUGAACUUGUACUUUGGUUAUGUGUUGUGCUCGGACUUGGACUUUGGUUUUGUAUUGGAGUUCUAUUACUAUAUUCUCACUUAUUAGUGUGGGUUUUA
Long non-coding RNA from Hordeum vulgare subsp. vulgare (domesticated barley), 1656 nucleotides. RefSeq lists it as uncharacterized. NCBI's taxonomy places the organism in Eukaryota, Viridiplantae, Streptophyta, Magnoliopsida, Poales, Poaceae. The transcript is spliced from 4 exons. The record is from RefSeq and is a predicted model, not a curated record.